GUUAGAGAUGUUGAUAUGGCUCAAUCUGAUAUAUUUUUAAUUUUAUUUAAAUAUAAAAAAAUAAAAGUAGAGUUGGUAAUUUUUUUCAAUCUAAUAGAUAUUCGAUUCGAAUGGAAUGGAUUUUAUCCAAUUUAAUUAAAAAAUAAAAUAAAUAUAAAUUUAAAAUAAAUAUUUAAAAUAAAUUUAAAUCGGAUACGAAUAAUAAUAUAU
Molecule: long non-coding RNA, 210 nt
Filed under: Elaeis guineensis (African oil palm)
Lineage: Eukaryota; Viridiplantae; Streptophyta; Magnoliopsida; Arecales; Arecaceae
Description: long non-coding RNA (EGUI_LNC011480)
Source: RNAcentral